GCACCCGUGGCUCAACGGAUAGAGCAUCAGUUUGCGGUACUGGGGGUUGGGAGUUCGAUUCUCUCCGGGUGCGCCA
This 76-nucleotide transfer RNA is filed under the name Mycoplasma testudineum. Its description in RNAcentral is "tRNA-Arg". It matches the Rfam family "tRNA". Rfam says of the family: Transfer RNA (tRNA) molecules are approximately 80 nucleotides in length. Their secondary structure includes four short double-helical elements and three loops (D, anti-codon, and T loops). The record is from RNAcentral. Lineage: Bacteria; Bacillati; Mycoplasmatota; Mollicutes; Mycoplasmatales; Mycoplasmataceae.